Molecule: ribosomal RNA, 529 nt
Filed under: uncultured bacterium
Lineage: Bacteria
Description: bacterial SSU rRNA
Rfam family: Bacterial small subunit ribosomal RNA
Source: RNAcentral
AAUAGAUACCCAGGUAGUCCACGCCGUAAACGAUGAGUGCUAAGUGUUAGAGGGUUUCCGCCCUUUAGUGCUGCAGCUAACGCAUUAAGCACUCCGCCUGGGGAGUACGGCCGCAAGGCUGGAACUCAAAGGAAUUGACGGGGGCCCGCACAAGCGGUGGAGCAUGUGGUUUAAUUCGAAGCAACGCGAAGAACCUUACCAGGUCUUGACAUCCUCUGCCAACCCUAGAGAUAGGGCGUUCCCCUUCGGGGGACAGAGUGACAGGUGGUGUAUGGUUGUCGUCAGCUCGUGUCGUGAGAUGUUGGGUUAAGUCCCGCAACGAGCGCAACCCUUGAUCUUAGUUGCCAGCAUUCAGUUGGGCACUCUAAGGUGACUGCCGGUGACAAACCGGAGGAAGGUGGGGAUGACGUCAAAUCAUCAUGCCCCUUAUGACCUGGGCUACACACGUGCUACAAUGGGUAUAACAACGGGAAGCAAGCCAGCGAUGGUGAGCAAAUCCCUAAAAAAUACUCCCAGUUCAGAUUGCUCU